CAGGGAAUCUUGCACAAUGGGCGAAAGCCUGAUGCAGCGACGCCGCGUGGGGGAUGAAGGCCCUAGGGUCGUAAACCCCUUUCAGCAGGGACGAAGAUGACGGUACCUGCAGAAGAAGCCCCGGCCAACUACGUGCCAGCAGCCGCGGUAAGACGUAGGGGGCGAGCGUUGUCUGGAUUUAUUGGGCGUAAAGAGCUCGUAGGCGGUUGCGUAAGUCGGAUGUGAAAACUCAGGGCUCAACCCUGAGACGCCAUCCGAUACUGCGCUGACUUGAAUCCAGUAGGGGAGUGCGGAAUUCCUGGUGUAGCGGUGAAAUGCGCAGAUAUCAGGAGGAACACCCAUGGCGAAGGCAGCACUCUGGGCUGGUAUUGACGCUGAGGAGCGAAAGCAUGGGUAGCGAACAGGAUUAGAUACCCUUGUAGUCCCUGAGCGGGCUGGCAAGGCGCAU
Molecule: ribosomal RNA, 448 nt
Filed under: uncultured bacterium
Lineage: Bacteria
Description: bacterial SSU rRNA
Rfam family: Bacterial small subunit ribosomal RNA
Source: RNAcentral